AACGCGAAGAACCUUACCUGGCCUUGACAUGCAUUGUGUCGUCGGUGAAAGCCGGCUAGCGUAGCAAUACGCGCUUUGCACAGGUGCUGCAUGGCUGUCGUCAGCUCGUGUCGUGAGAUGUUGGGUUAAGUCCCGCAACGAGCGCAACCCUUAUCCCUAGUUGCCAUCGGGUCAAGCCGGGCACUCUAGUGAAACCGCCUGGGAUAACCAGGAGGAAGGUGGGGAUGACGUCAAGUCCUCAUGGCCUUUAUGUCCAGGGCUACACACGUGCUACAAUGGUCGGUACAAACCGUCGCAAACUCGCGAGAGGGAGCUAAUCGGAAAAAGCCGGCCUCAGUUCGGAUUGGAGUCUGCAACCCGACUCCAUGAAGCUGGAAUCGCUAGUAAUCGCGGAUCAGAACGCCGCGGUGAAUACGUUCCCGGGCCUUGUACACACCGAGACGUA
Molecule: ribosomal RNA, 445 nt
Filed under: uncultured bacterium
Lineage: Bacteria
Description: bacterial SSU rRNA
Rfam family: Bacterial small subunit ribosomal RNA
Source: RNAcentral